Molecule: long non-coding RNA, 406 nt
Organism: Zerene cesonia (dogface butterfly)
Lineage: Eukaryota; Metazoa; Arthropoda; Insecta; Lepidoptera; Pieridae
Exons: 3
Source: RefSeq, a predicted model, not a curated record
GGCCAGUGAUCUAGUGCGGGAGUUUUGGGAAGCAAGAAAAUGUUUUCGACGAAAUCUGAUUUAUCUGAAAAAAUGAUAAUUUAGAAAAUCUAGGAAAAGUCAUCAAUACUAACGGUGGAAAUAAACGUACGAGGAUAUAUAAGGACUUUCAACUUGCGGAUCGAAAGUGAAUAGCUGGUGUUUUUAAACUGUGAGUAUUGUUUUAUCUGUAUUUAUUAUUAUCUUUACACGGUGCCACAGCUAUUUACCUUCUAUAAAUAAUUGCGUUCCUUUUCUAAAAUUAUAUCACAUUCAUUAUACAAAGAUUACUUAUAUCUUAAAUUUUAUAACUUAUAACUACUUAUAACUUAUAUCUUAUUUGUGUUUUCCUGGGAAACCUUACAUAUUCGACUUUCCUACUCCCUGU